Molecule: long non-coding RNA, 760 nt
Organism: Pollicipes pollicipes
Lineage: Eukaryota; Metazoa; Arthropoda; Thecostraca; Pollicipedomorpha; Pollicipedidae
Exons: 3
Source: RefSeq, a predicted model, not a curated record
CGGACCGGCGGCGGACGAGGACUGCUGACACCGACGUCAAGAUGACUCUCAGCCGGCACGCCGUUCUGCUGCUCACCCUGCUGGUUGUCGGCAUGCAAGCAGACGACAGAUUCACCUGCUGCAUGGGCGGCUGGAAGCAGUUGCGCGGCCUCUCGCUCUGCGAGCCGCCGCUGUUGCCAUGGCUACGUGGAGCGACUGGUUCACCCACCGCUUCUCAAGACCGCCUCCUACUGCCAGAAGCUGCUGGAGGAGCCGGAACCGCAGCAAAUCAAGAUGAUACCGCCGAUAAUGCGAGCCAGAAACUAUGGGGAGCCGCUGAAGGAGAAGAAGUACUACAGCGACCGGCUUCUGCGCUGGCUCAGCUGAAUGACGACUCGAGCACGCAAAAACCACGUACGCAUAGCGCUGCAAUCAACACUUGUGGUGGAGGACGACAGAACCCUUGGGCAGCAAUAUCACCACAAAACGCGUGCAAUGGAAGCAUGCCACUGAUUACGUGGUUGUGUCGUGGUGUUCCUCUGAGGACCGUUCUCUUUUGGUGUUUGUCGAAACGAUUGAAAACGCGGGUAUUUUCUGAGAACUCCGAGCUUGGGGGCAUGUCAAGAGAGCAUGACCUCCUCAUGCAUCAAAGCCCGCAACACAGGCGUCAGCGUUAACACGAUGCUUGACCGUCAGGCCGUCGGCAGUGGUUCAUGGACGACGUCUUGGUGUUUCAUUCGCUGUUUCCGCUAACGACCGAAUAAAGUCGCCUCCGAUUCCA